UUUUAUUGAGAGUUUGAUCCUGGCUCAGGACGAACGCUGGCGGCGUGCCUAAUACAUGCAAGUCGAACGCACUUGUCUCAUCGGAGCUUGCUCCACCGAGACAAGUGAGUGGCGGACGGGUGAGUAACACGUGGGCAACCUGCCCAUCAGAGGGGGAUAACACUUGGAAACAGGUGCUAAUACCGCAUAAUUCCUAUUGCCGCAUGGCGACAGGAUAAAAGACGCUUCG
This 229-nucleotide ribosomal RNA is filed under the name Vagococcus penaei. RNAcentral's name for it is "partial 16S ribosomal RNA". It matches the Rfam family "Bacterial small subunit ribosomal RNA", at positions 1 to 214 of the family's 1533-position model. The record is from RNAcentral. Lineage: Bacteria; Bacillati; Bacillota; Bacilli; Lactobacillales; Enterococcaceae.